Molecule: ribosomal RNA, 372 nt
Filed under: uncultured organism
Description: bacterial SSU rRNA
Rfam family: Bacterial small subunit ribosomal RNA
Source: RNAcentral
CGUAGGGGGCAAGCGUUGUCCGGAUUUAUUGGGCGUAAAGAGCGUGUAGGCGGCUUGGCAAGUCCGCUGUGAAAACUCGAGGCUUAACCUCGAGACGUCGGUGGAAACUGCUUGGCUAGAGUCCGGAAGAGGAGUGUGGAAUUCCUGGUGUAGCGGUGAAAUGCGCAGAUAUCAGGAAGAACACCUAUGGCGAAGGCAGCACUCUGGGACGGUACUGACGCUGAGACGCGAAAGCGUGUGGAGCGAACAGGAUUAGAUACCCUGGUAGUCCACGCCGUAAACGAUGGAUGCUAGGUGUGGGCGGUGUCGACUCCGUCCGUGCCGAAGCUAACGCAUUAAGCAUCCCGCCUGGGGAGUACGGCCGCAAGGCUA